Molecule: non-coding RNA, 83 nt
Organism: Lenzites betulinus
Lineage: Eukaryota; Fungi; Basidiomycota; Agaricomycetes; Polyporales; Polyporaceae
Source: the annotation of a GenBank genome assembly
GCUCUGUGGCUGAGUGGUUUAUGUGUAUCACUCUUACUUAUAGGCUUUUGCAGCAGGUCCGGUGUUCAAUUCCGCUGGCUGCG